RNAcentral lists this transfer-messenger RNA (404 nucleotides) under Legionellaceae. Its description in RNAcentral is "JACETI01 sp013911415 Standard tmRNA". It matches the Rfam family "transfer-messenger RNA". From Rfam's summary of the family: Bacterial tmRNA, also known as 10Sa RNA or SsrA, is named for its dual tRNA and mRNA-like properties. Its role is to liberate the mRNA from a stalled ribosome. The record is from RNAcentral. Lineage: Bacteria; Pseudomonadati; Pseudomonadota; Gammaproteobacteria; Legionellales. RNAcentral also lists the same sequence under 1 other name.
GGGGGCGACCUGGCUUCGACGUAGGUUGCGAAACCUGAAGUGCAUGCCGAGAAUGAGCACUCUCGUAAAUCAGUCUCAAUUAAAUAUAAAUGCAAAUAAUCAAAACUUCAACUUAGGAUCUGAACAAGCUGCGCAAGCUGCUUAAUCAGCUAUUAAGUUACCGUGCACUGCCAUAAAACCAGUGCCCCAUUGCCCGAGCUCGCUUACUGGUAUCGGUCCAAUGGUCAUAAGAGGUAAGCUCGCAGAUGAAUUUAUUCCUGAUUUGUCUGUUAAACUUUAGGAAUUCGCCAUGUUCGAUCCUGCCUGUCGGAGAGGUCGUGGUUAAAUUAAAUGAUUAGGCUACGCAUGUAGAUCGGAUGGCAGAGGAUUUGCGGACGCGGGUUCGAUUCCCGCCGCCUCCACCA